RNAcentral lists this ribosomal RNA (519 nucleotides) under uncultured bacterium. RNAcentral describes it as "bacterial SSU rRNA". It matches the Rfam family "Bacterial small subunit ribosomal RNA", at positions 355 to 863 of the family's 1533-position model. The record is from RNAcentral.
UGGGGAAUCUUGGACAAUGGGCGAAAGCCUGAUCCAGCAACGCCGCGUGCGGGACGAAGGCCCUCGGGUCGUAAACCGCUGUCAGGAGGGAGGAACGGUGCGUGGUUAAGAGCUGCGUACUUUGACAGUACCUCCAGAGGAAGCCCCGGCUAACUCCGUGCCAGCAGCCGCGGUAAUACGUAGGGUGCAAGCGUUGUCCGGAAUUAUUGGGCGUAAAGAGCUCGUAGGCGGUCCGUUGCGUCUGCCGUGAAAACCCGGAGCUCAACUCCGGGCCUGCGGUGGCAUACGGGCGGACGUAGAGUCCGGUAGGGGAGACUGGAAUUCCCGGUGUAGCGGUGAAAUGCGCAGAUAUCGGGGAGGAACACCAGUAGCGAAGGCGGCUCUCUGGGCCGACACCGACGCUGAGGAGCGAAAGCUAGGGGAGCAAACAGGAUUAGAUACCCGUGGUAGUCCACGCCGUAAACGAUGAGUGCUAGUCGUCGGCAGGCAUGCCUGUCGGUGACGCAGCUAACGCAUUAA